CACAGUUUCAAAAAAUAACUUUGUGUGAAUUAUUUUUGAAAUAUUGUCAACGUUGCGAUGAAAAUAUUUGGCGCAAUUUCGCUCGUCUUUAGCAAACAAAGAAGACGUUCGGUCCAGUUUUUUGUUCUAGUCUCGUUCUUGCUCAAGUGCCGUCUCUAACUUCUUCCUAGUGGCUUUAAUAAUUGAAUAGUGCAUUUUCGAGUGUCGGUAAACAACUAAUCGCGACGACUUGUAUGAUUUACACGUGUCCUAACUCGGCCAACAGCUUGCAUUUGAAAGGUGUGUGUGAGUGAUCUCUUGUUUAUCGCGUGUUUGCUUAAGCCGAGAUGCAGGGUCACAAUAUGCGUGUCUGACGUCAUUUGAAACAAACACUUGAUUUCUAAUCAACGUUAGGAUGGUCGAUCAAGUCGUACCUGGUGGCCGCACUUCCUUUAAAAUAUUCAGAUAGACAAAUUGAUGGCAGAUGUGCUCUUCUCUCUUCCAGUUGAACCCAAACUGCUGUUCAGGGGGGAUAAGAAACUGCCAUCGCCAAAGAAAUAUGCUGCCUUCAUGACAUUUGAGGAUCCAUUUGGGUGUGGCCGUUGGUGGCGGGCGCUGAUGCUCUGCCUGUGACAUUAAUAGACUAGCAGACGAAUCGUUUUUCUUCUCAAACUUGUUUUUUUUUUCGCCCGAUAGGACAGUCCUCUGUGUCUUUGCGGAUCGUAGAGAGCCAAUCAUCGACUUCAAUCGACUGAUUCGAUAUUCGUUAUAGGGACGCACCAACGCGCGUGUAAACGCACAAUCUCAUCCGCACAAUAAAUUACCUAAGCCACUUUCUUGUUCACUAUCGCCUAGGGAACAACUGGAACGACAGACGUAGGGAAAUGGGGAAGCAUCAGCUGGGAAGCGUUCGAGUAAAGAGAUAAAUUUAAAAUCAUCUUGCAGAUCGACGACAUUCAACCUCUUUUCUCUGUGUGUCGAAAAAGAAAUGACAGUUUAUCUGGCACAAAAAUAAAUGGGGCGUGGCUGUUUGAUGACGGACAGCUCCAUCAGACAGCCAAUCUCUCGUCAACAUCUUUUGUUUAUCCCUUUCGUACGUGAUACAUUUUUCUAUUCCGUCGCACACAUUUCGUUUUUUUUUUUUUUUGCCACUCUCGUUGCUAAGCAACGGAAUUUUUCUCCACAUCUACGCACUUGAAAACACAAAAAAAACGAUGCGCUUCAAGUUUAACGUUCCUUUGCGACAUAAACGAAGGAGAAAAAAGGAUCGGCAUUUCAGAAAGUCAAUGGCGCCCAGGAACUUCUUUUGUUUGGAUUUGCUCCGUUCUCGGCCAGUGGAUAAUAAAAGACUGGGCACAGAGCGCGCGCGCGCGUCCUCUAUUUUUUGCUGCGUCGCAUCAGCACCCCGUUGUUGUCUUUUUCAUAUUUGACAAAAGAGAAAACUAACGAGUUUCUUUGCCCAUCCUAGUACACCGAGCAAAACAAAAAUUCUAAAACCGGAGACGUGU
Molecule: long non-coding RNA, 1487 nt
Organism: Daphnia magna
Lineage: Eukaryota; Metazoa; Arthropoda; Branchiopoda; Diplostraca; Daphniidae
Exons: 3
Source: RefSeq, a predicted model, not a curated record